GACGAACGCUGGCGGCGUGCUUAACACAUGCAAGUCGAACGGAAAGGCCCCCACUUUUUUGGUGGGGGUGCUCGAGCGGCGAACGGGUGAGUAACACGUGGGUGAUCUGCCCUGCACUUCGGGAUAAGCUGGGGCAACUGGGUCUAAUACCGGAAAGGAUCAUGGUUUAGUGUCUCAUGGUGGAAAAAUUAUUGCUUUGGUGCAGGAUGAGCCCGCGGUGUAUUAGCUUGUUGGUGGGGUAAUGGCCUACCAAGGCGUCGACGGGUAGCCGGCCUGAGAGGGUGGACGGCCGGGUUGGGAAUGAGGUACAACCCCGACUCCGACGGGAGGGAGGGGUAGGGAAUGUUGCGGAAUGGAGGCAGGCCUGAUACAGCGGCGCCGCGUGAGGAAUGACGGCCUUCGGGUAAUAAACUCCUUUCGUUAGGAACGAGGCCGGACCUUUUUUGGGUGUGAUGGCGGUACCUUUGUUAAGAAGCACCGGCUAACUACGUG
This 492-nucleotide ribosomal RNA is filed under the name uncultured bacterium. Its description in RNAcentral is "partial 16S ribosomal RNA". It matches the Rfam family "Bacterial small subunit ribosomal RNA", at positions 28 to 507 of the family's 1533-position model. The record is from RNAcentral.